GACGAACGCUGGCGGCGUGCUUAACACAUGCAAGUCGAACGGAAAGGCCCUGCUUUUGUGGGGUGCUCGAGUGGCGAACGGGUGAGUAACACGUGAGUAACCUGCCCUUGACUUUGGGAUAACUUCAGGAAACUGGGGCUAAUACCGGAUAGGAGCUCCUGCUGCAUGGUGGGGGUUGGAAAGUUUCGGCGGUUGGGGAUGGACUCGCGGCUUAUCAGCUUGUUGGUGGGGUAGUGGCUUACCAAGGCUUUGACGGGUAGCCGGCCUGAGAGGGUGACCGGGCACAUUGGGACUGAGAGACGGCGCAGACUCCUACGGGAGGCAGCAGGGGGGAAUAUUGCACAAUGGGCGGAAGCCGGAUGCAGAAACGCCGCGUGCGGGAUGACGGCCUUCGGGUUGUAAACCGCUUUCGCCUGUGACGAAGCGUGAGUGACGGUAAUGGGUAAAGAAGCACCGGCUAACUACGUG
Molecule: ribosomal RNA, 468 nt
Filed under: uncultured bacterium
Lineage: Bacteria
Description: partial 16S ribosomal RNA
Rfam family: Bacterial small subunit ribosomal RNA
Source: RNAcentral